AUGUUGAUUCAUUCAAGAAAUUUUGACUUGCUUAAUAAGUUACAACACUGUUUGUGCCGCACAUUAUUUUUAUCUCCACUGGGUGGAGUGCUGCUUAUUCGUUGCCGUUUUUUAGCCUAUAAACACCGGUACGGUCUGGCUGAGCAUAUGCAUGUAAAAAAUCAAUAUUUGCAUGUUGAUUGCCUGAAUAUCCUCUUGCUGCAUUGUAGCAAUGCCCCUAUGCAUUGUGUUUGGUUGUUUGCAUUGUAUAUCUGCAUCGUAGCAAUGCUUCUAUGCAUUGUGUUUGGUUGUUUGCAUUGUAUGUGGUUACAUGAGUGCAUGUUGUUUUGUUGA
This 333-nucleotide ribosomal RNA is filed under the name Triticum aestivum (bread wheat). RNAcentral describes it as "partial small subunit ribosomal RNA". Lineage: Eukaryota; Viridiplantae; Streptophyta; Magnoliopsida; Poales; Poaceae. The record is from RNAcentral.